RNAcentral lists this long non-coding RNA (246 nucleotides) under Nicotiana benthamiana. Its description in RNAcentral is "long non-coding RNA (NBEN_LNC015147)". Lineage: Eukaryota; Viridiplantae; Streptophyta; Magnoliopsida; Solanales; Solanaceae. The record is from RNAcentral.
UACACUUUCCAUAACAAACUAGCUGUAUUGCAGCAAUGGAGAAUAGAUUUCAAGUUUGAUCCGGGUAAUAUAAGUGUGAUUCCAUUGUGGAACACUUUCCCUGGCUUACCUUUGGGUUUCUGGUCAACUGAAGCUUUAAGUAAGUUAUCUAGUGUGGUUGGAAAGCCUUUGUAUACUGAUAAGUUUACAACAGAACUAGAGAAAGUGUCCUAUGCCAAAGUGUUGGUUGAAACUGAUAUAUCCAAG